GGUCCAGGUAGCUGCCUUCGCCAUGGAUGUUCCUCCUGAUCUCUACGCAUUUCACUGCUACACCAGGAAUUCCGCUACCCUCUACCACACUCUAGUCGCCCAGUAUCCACUGCAGUUCCCAGGUUGAGCCCAGGGCUUUCACAACGGACUUAAACGACCACCUACGCACGCUUUACGCCCAGUAAUUCCGAGUAACGCUUGCACCCUUCGUAUUACCGCGGCUGCUGGCACGAAGUUAGCCGGUGCUUAUUCUUUGGGUACCGUCAUCCCAACCGGGUAUUAGCCAGCUGGAUUUCUUUCCCAACAAAAGGGCUUUACAACCCGAAGGCCUUCUUCACCCACGCGGUAUGGCUGGAUCAGGCUUGCGCCCAUUGUCCAAUAUUCCCCACUGCUGCCUCCCGUAGGAGUCUGGACCGUGUCUCAGUUCCAGUGUGGCUGAUCAUCCUCUCAGACCAGCUACGGAUCGUCGCCUUGGUGGGCCUUUACCCCGCCAACUAGCUAAUCCGACAUCGGCUCAUUCAAUCGCGCAAGGUCCGAAGAUCCCCUGCUUUCACCCGUAGGUCGUAUGCGGUAUUAGCGUAAGUUUCCCUACGUUAUCCCCCACGACAGAGUAGAUUCCGAUGUAUUCCUCACCCGUCCGCCACUCGCCACCCAGAGAGCAAGCUCUCCUGUGCUGCCGUUCGACUUGCAUGUGUUAGGCCUACCGCCA
This 709-nucleotide ribosomal RNA is filed under the name Stenotrophomonas maltophilia. Its description in RNAcentral is "partial 16S rRNA". Lineage: Bacteria; Pseudomonadati; Pseudomonadota; Gammaproteobacteria; Lysobacterales; Lysobacteraceae. The record is from RNAcentral.